AUAGGUAUAGCUCAGUGGUAGAGUACAUGCUUAGCAUGCAAGAAGUCCUGGGUUCAAUCCUCAGUACCUCCA
Molecule: transfer RNA, 72 nt
Filed under: Camelus bactrianus (Bactrian camel)
Lineage: Eukaryota; Metazoa; Chordata; Mammalia; Artiodactyla; Camelidae
Also listed under: 2 other names
Rfam family: tRNA
About the family: Transfer RNA (tRNA) molecules are approximately 80 nucleotides in length.
Source: Rfam by way of RNAcentral